Molecule: ribosomal RNA, 481 nt
Filed under: Iodobacter sp. 01WB03.2-64a
Lineage: Bacteria; Pseudomonadati; Pseudomonadota; Betaproteobacteria; Neisseriales; Chitinibacteraceae
Description: bacterial SSU rRNA
Rfam family: Bacterial small subunit ribosomal RNA
Source: RNAcentral
AUCCUGGCUCAGAUUGAACGCUGGCGGCAUGCUUUACACAUGCAAGUCGAACGGUAACAGGGUGCUUGCACCGCUGACGAGUGGCGAACGGGUGAGUAAUAUAUCGGAACGUACCUAGUAAUGGGGGAUAACUAUCCGAAAGGAUAGCUAAUACCGCAUACGCCCUGAGGGGGAAAGAGGGGGAUCGCAAGACCUCUCGUUAUUAGAGCGGCCGAUAUCAGAUUAGCUAGUUGGUGAGGUAAAGGCUCACCAAGGCCACGAUCUGUAGCGGGUCUUAGAGGACGAUCCGCCACACUGGAACUGAGACACGGUCCAGACUCCUACGGGAGGCAGCAGUGGGGAAUCUUGGACAAUGGGCGCAAGCCUGAUCCAGCAAUGCCGCGUGCGUGAAGAAGGCCUUCGGGUUGUAAAGCGCUUUUGUUCGGGAGGAAAUCCUAGGGGCUAAUACCUCUUGGGGAUGACAGUACCGGAAGAAUAAGAC